This 459-nucleotide ribosomal RNA is filed under the name uncultured bacterium. RNAcentral's name for it is "partial 16S ribosomal RNA". It matches the Rfam family "Bacterial small subunit ribosomal RNA", at positions 338 to 795 of the family's 1533-position model. The record is from RNAcentral.
CCUACGGGAGGCAGCAGUGAGGAAUAUUGGUCAAUGGGCGGGAGCCUGAACCAGCCAAGCCGCGUGAGGGAAGAAGGCGCCAGGCGUCGUAAACUUCUUUUGUCGGGGAACAAAGGGCGCCACGCGUGGCGUUGUGAGUGUACCCGAAGAAAAAGCAUCGGCUAACUCCGUGCCAGCAGCCGCGGUAAUACGGAGGAUGCGAGCGUUAUCCGGAUUUAUUGGGUUUAAAGGGUGCGUAGGCGGACUGUUAAGUCAGCGGUAAAAUACGGGGGCUCAACCCCCGCCCGCCGUUGAAACUGACGGUCUUGAGUGGGCGAGAAGUAUGCGGAAUGCGCGGUGUAGCGGUGAAAUGCAUAGAUAUCACGCAGAACUCCGAUUGCGAAGGCAGCAUACCGGCGCCCAACUGACGCUGAAGCACGAAAGCGUGGGUAUCGAACAGGAUUAGAUACCCGUGUAGUC